Molecule: long non-coding RNA, 867 nt
Filed under: Monodelphis domestica (gray short-tailed opossum)
Lineage: Eukaryota; Metazoa; Chordata; Mammalia; Didelphimorphia; Didelphidae
Description: lncRNA (ENSMODG00000034360.2)
Source: RNAcentral
GAUGAAGCUGCUGUCUUUCUCUCUUUAUGUUAACAAUUCAUCAUUUGGAAAUUUGGAACCCCCUCCUUCCCCUUUCUCCCUGACCAAAAGGAAAGCAGAUAGGAGGUGGGGAAGAAACAUCCAGACGCAUACCCGCCAUAGCUGAUGCAAACCGGGCUGAAGGAGAAAAUGGGGAAGGGAGAAGGGACCAAGGGGAAAGGGGAGGAGAGGAAAGGAGAGGGCGGAGACACCAGCGUAUAAAUAAUGUUGUUUCAGGUUACUAUGGGACACACGUUACGUUUCCAUGGUUGCAUUCAUUUAGUCUGAAUCUGAAUCAGCUGCUGUACAUCACAGCCGCACCUUCCCUGUCCCCGGACAUUGGACACUGUACACUGCCGGACAAUCCUCCCCCUCCACACACACACACACACACACACACACACACACACACACACACACACACACACACACACACAUACACACUCCUCUCUAGCCCUCCAGAGGCAUGCACCAUCUGGACUGCAUUCAAGUCUCUGGUCUGGCCUACUUUACACCCUCCCCUUCUUGAUGCGGUGGUCUCUCCAGGCUCCACUGCUUGCUCUGAUCAGCUUCAUACUAUCCCACCAAGGACUGCGGGUUUUGAGGUCCAGCUGCCACCAGCAGACCUUUCUGCCUGUCCACUUGACAUUGACCUGGCUGAAAGCAUCCUGGCAGAGAAUAAACUUUCCAUUUUGGCCUCUAAUCAAUCAUUGAAGAGUACAUUUUUACCCAGGAACUUCUUUAAUUUCUGAUGAAACUCUUUGAAGAUCCUUGGAAAGAAAACCAUAGAGGUACUAUGGAAAGGAUCUGAGAAAUCACAGCUAACCAGUAUAUUCCUCUGGGCUACAG